Molecule: transfer RNA, 109 nt
Filed under: Gammaproteobacteria bacterium
Lineage: Bacteria; Pseudomonadati; Pseudomonadota; Gammaproteobacteria
Description: tRNA-OTHER
Rfam family: tRNA
About the family: Transfer RNA (tRNA) molecules are approximately 80 nucleotides in length. Their secondary structure includes four short double-helical elements and three loops (D, anti-codon, and T loops).
Source: RNAcentral
GCGCCGGUAGCUAAAGAGGCAUAAGCACAUACUGGCGUGGCGUUCAAUUCCCGUCAGGCAUGGUCGUAGCACUAGCUGCGUGCCGGUUCGAGUCCGGUCCGGCGCACCA